GCAAGGGGAACAACUCAACUCGGGGUAUUGUGAUAUAAAAUAAUUUAUUUAAAUUCUAUAGCCUAACUAUAAUUGAUUUCUCCAUAUGGGAGCAAUGAAUUGAAUAAAUUAUAGAAUUUAAUCAUCUUUAUUUUCAUCUGGUCUGUAGAGUUGCACUGGACGUCCAUUUGUUGGCUGUGUUGGUCUUGCAUUUGUGUCGGAGUCAUCAUGAACCGCUACGCGAAGCAAUCUCACUUGUUCUUUGGUAACAGUCCUCACCUUUCUGACAAUGGUCCAGAGGACAUUUUCAGUGCAAGGAGGAGUUGUAAGAGAUCCCAUGUAUCUAUAAUACUUUCUACUACCUAUCUUGAUGUCUUUUGGGUUAACGACCCCCACCACUGUCUCUGUUUCUCCGUUGCCAG
Molecule: unclassified non-coding RNA, 401 nt
Filed under: Hevea brasiliensis (rubber tree)
Lineage: Eukaryota; Viridiplantae; Streptophyta; Magnoliopsida; Malpighiales; Euphorbiaceae
Source: RNAcentral